UAUACACACCCUUACACACACUGGUGUAAGGAAUGUGGGAAAAAAUUCAUCCUGAAGAGUCACCUUGCUAGACACACCGUUACACACACUGGUGUAAAAAGUCAUGAGUGUGAAGAGUGCGGGAAGAGGUUCAGUGUGAAGUCAACCCUCAAUGAACGCGUCUUCAGGCACUUUGGCCUUAGAGAGUUCAAGUCUUUAAGACAAAGAGUGACAUUGCCAGGCACAUGAAGACCCACUUCUGAAGUGUGUCUGCCAACAGUAAUUAUAGUGACCAGGGUGUUAGCAGCAGCUGAGCCUGAUAGGGAAAGGGAAGUGAAGGAGAGGUAAACGUGAUCUUGUUAGACAAGGAAGAAAGAAGGCUUGCCUGUGAAGUGAUAAAAGGAGAGGAGCCACAGCAAGAAGAGGAAGGGAAAUACUGAUGGCUGACUUUCCACAGCUGUGGCAGCUGCACCUGGGCCUGGAGCCUGGUUGAGUCUCACAGCUACAGUGAAUGACUUACUCCUCUGUGAGAGUGUGUGAAGCAGUUUGCCAACAUCGUCGUGGCCCUCCUGAUGCUGUUCGCCGCGUACAAUCACUUGAUGAUCUUCUUCUUCAUGCUAACCUGCCGGCUCAUCGUUGAGUACCAAAUCCACCGGAAGGAGAUGGACAAGGCGGCGGCAGCGGCCAAGAAGUCACCCGCCGCAGCCGUCGAAUGGAAGGACGAAGGAACAGCCGCCAACUCCAUCGCUGACGGCUCCACGUCUACUCUCGUCUCCUCCUCCUCCUCCUCAGUUGCCUCCGCUUCCUCCUCCUCACCCUCCUCCUCCUCUCAACAUCGACGGUCGAAGAAGGAUGUUUAGUGUGGAGGC
Eriocheir sinensis (Chinese mitten crab) is the source of this 848-nucleotide long non-coding RNA. RefSeq lists it as uncharacterized. The record is from RefSeq and is a predicted model, not a curated record. Lineage: Eukaryota; Metazoa; Arthropoda; Malacostraca; Decapoda; Varunidae. The transcript has 3 exons.